UCCGUAGGCGGGCGAUUAAGUCAGAGGUGAAAUCCCACAGCUCAACUGUGGAACUGCCUUUGAUACUGGUUGUCUUGAGUUACAGUGAAGUAGAUAGAAUAUGUAGUGUAACGGUGAAAUGCAUAGAUAUUACAUAGAAUACCGAUUGCGAAGGCAGUCUACUAACUGUUAACUGACGCUAAGGGACGAAAGCGUGGGGAGCGAACAGGAUUAGAUACCCUGGUAGUCC
This 229-nucleotide ribosomal RNA is filed under the name uncultured bacterium. Its description in RNAcentral is "partial 16S ribosomal RNA". It matches the Rfam family "Bacterial small subunit ribosomal RNA", at positions 568 to 796 of the family's 1533-position model. The record is from RNAcentral.